Trichonephila clavipes is the source of this 72-nucleotide non-coding RNA. The record is from the annotation of a GenBank genome assembly. Lineage: Eukaryota; Metazoa; Arthropoda; Arachnida; Araneae; Nephilidae.
GCGGGUGCAGCUUAGGGUUAGAGCUUUCGCUUCGCAUGCUAAAACUCAGGGGUUCGAAUCCCCGCUCCCGUA